AAACCAACCGGGAUUGCCUCAGUAACGGCGAGUGAAGCGGCAAAAGCUCAAAUUUGAAAUCUAGUACCUUUGGUGCUCGAGUUGUAAUUUGUAGAGGGAUACUUUGGGGCCGUUCCUUGUCUAUGUUCCUUGGAACAGGACGUCAUAGAGGGUGAGAAUCCCGUGUGGCGAGGAGUGCGGUUCUAUGUAAAGUGCCUUCGAAGAGUCGAGUUGUUUGGGAAUGCAGCUCUAAGUGGGUGGUAAAUUCCAUCUAAAGCUAAAUAUUGGCGAGAGACCGAUAGCGAACAAGUACAGUGAUGGAAAGAUGAAAAGAACUUUGAAAAGAGAGUGAAAAAGUACGUGAAAUUGUUGAAAGGGAAGGGCAUUUGAUCAGACAUGGUGUUUUGUGCCCCAUACUCCUUGUGGGUGUGGGAAUCUCGCAGCUCACUGGGCCAGCAUCAGUUUUGGUGGCAGGAUAAAACGCUUGGAAUGUGGCUUGCUUCGGGAAGUGUUAUAGCCAAGUGUCAUACUGCCAACCGGGACUGAGGACUGCGACAUUCGUCAAGGAUGCUGGCAUAAUGGUUAAAUGCCGC
RNAcentral lists this ribosomal RNA (572 nucleotides) under Kazachstania viticola. Its description in RNAcentral is "eukaryotic LSU rRNA". It matches the Rfam family "Eukaryotic large subunit ribosomal RNA", at positions 62 to 648 of the family's 3401-position model. RNAcentral also lists the same sequence under 1 other name. The record is from RNAcentral. Lineage: Eukaryota; Fungi; Ascomycota; Saccharomycetes; Saccharomycetales; Saccharomycetaceae.